UCUCCUCCUCCUGCAGGUUGGUUCCUCUGGUUCUCUGGUUAAAGACUCUUUAUGACUUUAGUUCAGUUAAAAUCUGAAGAAAUUCGACUUUAACUCGACCAACGGUCCUCAAACGUCUCACUGAGGGUCCGGAGGGUCCCCCAACAGGUCCGGAGUCCGUGACCCAAACAACUACAGGUUGGACUCUGCUAUGGAUCAGUGUGAGGACACGGAGGAUGGGGUCCGUCCCUCUAAAACUGAGGACCAGGACAGCCGGACAGAAGCUGUCAGGAUCCAUCAGAGACCAGAACCUCCUGAACCUGCAGCCAGCUGUGUGUCCUUCAGAAGUGACCAGUCAAGAGAUUUCAUUCUUGAUUUUAAACAGACACAUCUAUCUGCUG
Long non-coding RNA from Centropristis striata (black sea bass), 380 nucleotides. RefSeq lists it as uncharacterized. The record is from RefSeq and is a predicted model, not a curated record. Lineage: Eukaryota; Metazoa; Chordata; Actinopteri; Perciformes; Serranidae. The transcript is spliced from 3 exons.